Molecule: ribosomal RNA, 407 nt
Filed under: uncultured bacterium
Lineage: Bacteria
Description: partial 16S ribosomal RNA
Rfam family: Bacterial small subunit ribosomal RNA
Source: RNAcentral
GACGAACGCUGGCGGCGUGCCUAAUACAUGCAAGUAGGACGCAGUUGCGAACGGGUGAGUAACGCGUAGGUAACUACCUAUUAGAGGGGGAUAACUAUUGGAAACGAUAGCUAAUACCGCAUACUAGUAGAUGGACCUGCGUGGUAUUAGCUAGUAGGUAGGGGAAUGGCCUACCUAGGCAACGAUACAGAGCCGAGCUGGGGGGGAGGUCGGCCAAAAUGGGAAUGGGAAACGGGCCCGAAUCCUACGGGAGGGAGGCGUAGGGGAACUUCGGACAUGGGGGGAAACCUGACCAAGCAACGCCGGGGGAGUGAAGAAGGUUUUCGGAGCGUAAAGCUCUGUUGUUAAGGGAGCGGUACUUACCCAGAAAGGGACGGCUAACUACGUGCCAGCCGCCGCGGUAAUAC